Long non-coding RNA from Carassius auratus (goldfish), 919 nucleotides. RefSeq lists it as uncharacterized. Lineage: Eukaryota; Metazoa; Chordata; Actinopteri; Cypriniformes; Cyprinidae. The transcript has 3 exons. The record is from RefSeq and is a predicted model, not a curated record.
AAAGGAGGCGUGUCCUUACACAAAAGGGGUGUGGCCUCUCAUCAUACAACCUCUGCAGACUAGACAAGCUUCACUGCUACUAAACGAGUGUUUGGAUGAUUCCUCACAUUAUGUGUGCUGUUGAGGAAAGUCUUCUACUUCAGUUCAGCAGCAGAUGAUGUUUGUCUUUCAGUCAGAAUCUCAUCAGUGUCUCUCUCGAGGAAGAUUCACAGUUCUCCAGAACUUCAUCAUUAUCUUCAGUCAUUCUGCAAGCUUCAGUGCAUCUCUGACGUCAGCAGCGACUCAAAGUGCCUUUGCAACGGGUUUAUCACAAAGGUCAAGCUGUGAAGAUGUGAUAUCACAGCAUCAGAUCAGAAACAAGCCGCAAAAAUCCCAAACGCAUGAAUCCGUGGUGGAUCAGGAACAGCCCGCGGUGGAGAGCCUCUCGAUGUGAUGAACCUCUGCUGCUCUUAUAUCAAACACACACACACACACCGUCCAGACGUUCAUCUGGAUUACACCAUCAGAUUACACAAAUUAAAUACUUGUUAUUAGAUAUUACAUUUCAUAACGCUCAUUAUCAGAUUACAGUUACUUUUUAUGGAUUACAUGAUUACAUAUUAGUCACACAAUGUUAGUAAACCAUCAGGGAUCACAAAUGAUAUCGAGCCUCUGUUAUAAUGCAGAAAUCACUUCUUCAACUCAGCUUUUUGACAUUUUUAAAUCAAGAUACAUUUACUAAAGAUAUCAGGCCUUGUCUUCUGAAAAAUGUUUUAAAGUUAAACAAGUGAAUGUUUAAAACAAGAACAAACAUCUGCUAAUGCGCUCACAGAAAUAGUCUUGUUUUCCCAUUACAUUAAAUGAACAGGUUUUGCUUCAAGUAAAUAAAUCUUGAUUUCAGGAUGUUAUAAAACACGUUUAACAGUGUGGGUGUGCGUAU